Molecule: long non-coding RNA, 1698 nt
Filed under: Homo sapiens (human)
Lineage: Eukaryota; Metazoa; Chordata; Mammalia; Primates; Hominidae
Description: non-protein coding GAS5:59
Rfam family: Small nucleolar RNA SNORD47 (bases 1335-1411)
Source: RNAcentral
CUUUUCGAGGUAGGAGUCGACUCCUGUGAGGUAUGGUGCUGGGUGCAGAUGCAGUGUGGCUCUGGAUAGCACCUUAUGGACAGUUGUGUCCCCAAGGAAGGAUGAGAAUAGCUACUGAAGUAAGUUGAAAAUUCCCUCUCAAAAAGGUUUAAAGCCAUUGGAUGUGCCACAAUGAUGACAGUUUAUUUGCUACUCUUGAGUGCUAGAAUGAUGAGGAUCUUAACCACCAUUAUCUUAACUGAGGCACCCAAAAUGGUGAGUUGGGGAACAUAGAGAGUACACCUAAGUUCACAUGAAGUUGUUUCUUCCCAGGUCCUAAAGAGCAAGCCUAACUCAAGCCAUUGGCACACAGGCAUUAGACAGAAAGCUGGAAGUUGAAAUGGUGGAGUCCAACUUGCCUGGACCAGCUUAAUGGUUCUGCUCCUGGUAACGUUUUUAUCCAUGGAUGACUUGCUUGGGUAAGGACAUGAAGACAGUUCCUGUCAUACCUUUUAAAGGUAUGGAGAGUCGGCUUGACUACACUGUGUGGAGCAAGUUUUAAAGAAGCAAAGGUAUAGCAGUUCCAAGUAUUUUUUUUUUUUUUUUAGACAAGAGUCUAGCUCUUGCCCAGAAUGGAGUGCAGCGGCACUAUCAGUUCACUGCAACCUCUGCCUCCCAGGUUCAAGGAAUUCUCCUGCCUCAGCCUCUUGAGUAGCUGGGAUUACAGGCAUGUGACACCAUGCCUGGCUAAUUUUGUACAGCUAUGUUGUCCAGGCUGGUCUCGAACUCUUGACCUCAAGUGAUACUGCCCGCACUGACCUCCCAAAGUGCUGGGAUUACAGGCGUGAGCCACCAUGCCCCGCCUCAAGUCUGGUUUUUAAGUGUUGUAAAGCCGAUACAAUGAUGAUAACAUAGUUCAGCAGACUAACGCUGAUGAGCAAUAUUAAGUCUUUCGCUCCUAUCUGAUGUAUCUGGCGGUAACAUUCUAGUUUAUGCCCCGAAAAGGGGAAUAUAGCCAUUCUAUAAUGUUUGGAGAUUUUGGAUUACUCCUAAUUGUAUGCAAGUUGUCUUACUGUGUAUUGUCCCUUAAUUUCAGGACUCAGAAUUCAUGAUUGAAGAAAUGCAGGUUAGUUUAAACUUUGAAGGAAAUUUUUAAGGUGGCAAAAGGUUUUGGUGGCAUAUACACCUUAAUCUGUAGAUGGGAGUGAUUAGCUGUUUAAAAGUUAAAAUGUGACUGAGAAGGAAAUUGAGUAGGGCAAAUUUUAAAUGGGUAUUAUUUUUCAUCUUCAAACAGGCAGACCUGUUAUCCUAAACUAGGUGAGUCAGCUUUUGGUACAUGUGAUGAUUUUCAGUGUAACCAAUGAUGUAAUGAUUCUGCCAAAUGAAAUAUAAUGAUAUCACUGUAAAACCGUUCCAUUUUGAUUCUGAGGUUACUCUACUAACAAGCAUCACACAUUUGUAUUUUGCCCUGAUUAAUAUGUUGGCUUCGCUUUCAGGGUUUUUAAUGACCACAACAAGCAAGCAUGCAGCUUACUGCUUGAAAGGGUCUUGCCUCACCCAAGCUAGAGUGCAGUGGCCUUUGAAGCUUACUACAGCCUCAAACUUCUGGGCUCAAGUGAUCCUCAGCCUCCCAGUGGUCUUUGUAGACUGCCUGAUGGAGUCUCAUGGCACAAGAAGAUUAAAACAGUGUCUCCAAUUUUAAUAAAUUUUUGCAAUCCA